GGCCCUAUGGCGCAACGGUAGCGCGUUCGACUCCAGAUCGAAAGGUUAUCCGUUCAAAUCGGGUUGGGGUCA
This is a transfer RNA of Neurospora tetrasperma FGSC 2509, 72 nucleotides long. It matches the Rfam family "tRNA". From Rfam's summary of the family: Transfer RNA (tRNA) molecules are approximately 80 nucleotides in length. Their secondary structure includes four short double-helical elements and three loops (D, anti-codon, and T loops). Further hydrogen bonds mediate the characteristic L-shaped molecular structure. tRNAs have two regions of fundamental functional importance: the anti-codon, which is responsible for specific mRNA codon recognition, and the 3' end, to which the tRNAs corresponding amino acid is attached (by aminoacyl-tRNA synthetases). tRNAs cope with the degeneracy of the genetic code in two manners: having more than one tRNA (with a specific anti-codon) for a particular amino acid; and 'wobble' base-pairing, i.e. permitting non-standard base-pairing at the 3rd anti-codon position. The record is from Rfam. NCBI's taxonomy places the organism in Eukaryota, Fungi, Ascomycota, Sordariomycetes, Sordariales, Sordariaceae.